CUUCGACUAAAAUUCUACUCCACUAAUCAUGUCAUAUCCAGAUCACACCUUAAAUCAUUAUUGUUCAAAUAUGCGACUGAGAAUUAUUUUCAAAAAAUUAUAAAACUUAUGAACCCUUCAAUAACUGCGAAGGAAGCUCAAGCUCUCAUGAUCAAUCAUACAACCUUUUUUGCAUAUCCGUGCAAAAAAGAAAAAACAAUGCAUAUACGUUAUAUGGGAAUUUUUUUUUACUAAGUACCACGAUUUUUCUAGAGUGUAUUUUAUAGGACACAUGGGAAACAUUUAACUUUCUUGAGUGCACAACUGUACACGCGGUCAUUUCUUUUUCAAAUUAUAGAUAUACUCAUUAAGGACAUCUUUCAAGCGGACCCUCAAAUCACCCACGUCUAUCUGGACCGCUUUGUUUGGACGUGUUGUGUCAUCCAACGCAGUCUUGUAUCAGUCCGCCGAGCGGUCCGGACCAAGUUUUCCUCAUAAAACUUAACCAAGCAUGUGUGUGUGUGGGGGGGGGGGG
RNAcentral lists this long non-coding RNA (514 nucleotides) under Hordeum vulgare. Its description in RNAcentral is "long non-coding RNA (HVUL_LNC006467)". The record is from RNAcentral. Lineage: Eukaryota; Viridiplantae; Streptophyta; Magnoliopsida; Poales; Poaceae.